Molecule: long non-coding RNA, 242 nt
Filed under: Elaeis guineensis (African oil palm)
Lineage: Eukaryota; Viridiplantae; Streptophyta; Magnoliopsida; Arecales; Arecaceae
Description: long non-coding RNA (EGUI_LNC052763)
Source: RNAcentral
GUCGGAGCACCCCCAACUCCAGUUCAGACAUUUCUCGCAGGUCCCGACGGUGGUUGUGAUCCCCUCGACUCCAGCUUCUCCAGUAUCGAUGGAAUUCUACACCAACAGGUUCAAACAUUAAGCCGGUAGCACAGGAAUCGAUUCUUGCACUAAUCGAGAUACCAUCUAGUAAUGAUUUCCAAUAUUUAGAUAGUUUGAAUUAUCAUAAAAAAAUAUUUCAGAACCCAUGCACAUGGUUACUG